Myotis daubentonii (Daubenton's bat) is the source of this 502-nucleotide long non-coding RNA. RefSeq lists it as uncharacterized. The record is from RefSeq and is a predicted model, not a curated record. Lineage: Eukaryota; Metazoa; Chordata; Mammalia; Chiroptera; Vespertilionidae.
GCGCCAUCUUCUCAGGUGGGUGUUUGUGAGGCCCGUGUGUGGAUUCCGCGUACAAUCCGUUUACAUCUGGUCUCUGCGCUUGCCAUCAUCACAGCAAACUAACUGUAACCUUUCUCUCUUUGCCCGUAGAAGCCUCUGCGCCAUGAGAGCCAAGUGGAGGAAGAAGCGAAUGCGCAGGCUGAAGCGCAAAAGAAGAAAGAUGAGGCAGAGGUCCAAGUAAGCCGCAAGCUGUGCACCCGUGAGAGCCACAGGAGCAGGAAUGAGGGAGCCAGAGGCCGGGCGAGCCGGCGGACUGCGUGCCUGCUGUCCGGCGCGUCUCCGCGGGAGCUGGAACAUAACAUGCGCGUCACCUGAGCGCCGCGGCCCCUUUUGAGAGGCCCACUCUGCUAUUACAAAAGCAGCCUCUUUUGGACCCGUGACAUUCUGGACUGGUUCUGUUCUCUGUGGCUGAAUGUAACGUGUACAAUAAAUCACCUCUUCUGUCUUAGCUGAAGAAAGAUAA